AUCGAGGCCCAGCCCGCGGACGGCG
This 25-nucleotide non-coding RNA is filed under the name Xenopus laevis (African clawed frog). The record is from RNAcentral. RNAcentral also lists the same sequence under 1 other name. Lineage: Eukaryota; Metazoa; Chordata; Amphibia; Anura; Pipidae.